This 440-nucleotide ribosomal RNA is filed under the name uncultured bacterium. Its description in RNAcentral is "partial 16S ribosomal RNA". It matches the Rfam family "Bacterial small subunit ribosomal RNA", at positions 338 to 795 of the family's 1533-position model. The record is from RNAcentral.
CCUACGGGCGGCAGCAGUAGGGAAGAGUGCUCAAUGGGGGAAACCCUGAAGCAGCAACGCCGCGUGGAGGAUGAAGGUUUUCGGAUUGUAAACUCCUUUUGUUAGAGAAGAGAAUGACGGUAUCUAACGAAUAAGCACCGGCUAACUCCGUGCCAGCAGCCGCGGUAAUACGGAGGGUGCAAGCGUUCCUCGGAAUCACUGGGCGUAAAGAGCGCGUAGGCGGGAUAGCAAGUCAGAUGUGAAAUCCUAUGGCUUAACCAUAGAACUGCAUUUGAAACUGUUAUUCUAGAGUAUGGGAGAGGUCGGUGGAAUUCUUGGUGUAGUGGUCAAAUCCGUAGAGAUCAAGAGGCAUACUCAUUGCGAAGGCGACCUGCUAGACCAUACCUGACGCUGAUGCGCGACAGCGUGGGGAGCAAACAGGAUUAGAUACCCGUGUAGUC